CCUGCGCUUAAUUGCGCGGCCAGUUCUUGAUUCUCUGCUAUCAGUUUUCUAUUUCUCAUCCUAAACACAAUGGAGUUUUUUCUCUAUGAACUACUUCCCUGGAGAGCUCGUCUCUCCAGUGGACAUAAACACAAACAAUAUUUUGUAUUAUGAAAAACUAUUAUACUAUAAAAUUUAAUAUUCAAAACUUUCAACAACGGAUCUCUUGGUUCUCGCAUCGAUGAAGAACGCAGCGAAUUGCGAUAUGUAUUGUGAAUUGCAGAUUUUCGUGAAUCAUCAAAUCUUUGAACGCACAUUGCGCCCUCUGGUAUUCCAGGGGGCAUGCCUGUUUGAGCGUCAUUUCUCUCUCAAACCUUUGGGUUUGGUAGUGAGUGAUACUCGUCUCGGGUUAACUUGAAAGUGGCUAGCCGUUGCCAUCUGCGUGAGCAGGGCUGCGUGUCAAGUCUAUGGACUCGACUCUUGCACAUCUACGUCUUAGGUUUGCGCCAAUUCGUGGUAAGCUUGGGUCAUAGAGACUCAUAGGUGUUAUAAAGACUCGCUGGUGUUUGUCUCCUUGAGGCAUACGGCUUUAACCAAAACUCUCAAAGUUUGACCUCAAAUCAGGUAGGAGUACCCGCUGAACUUAAGCAUAUCAUAA
This 637-nucleotide ribosomal RNA is filed under the name Kluyveromyces marxianus. RNAcentral describes it as "eukaryotic LSU rRNA". The stretch from base 186 to 339 matches the Rfam family "5.8S ribosomal RNA". Lineage: Eukaryota; Fungi; Ascomycota; Saccharomycetes; Saccharomycetales; Saccharomycetaceae. The record is from RNAcentral.